Molecule: ribosomal RNA, 332 nt
Filed under: uncultured Bacteroidota bacterium
Lineage: Bacteria; Pseudomonadati; Bacteroidota
Description: bacterial SSU rRNA
Rfam family: Bacterial small subunit ribosomal RNA
Source: RNAcentral
GAUGAACGCUAGCGGGAGGCUUAACACAUGCAAGUCGAGGGGCAGCACGUCCCGACGCAAGUCGGGAUGGUGGCGACCGGCGCACGGGUGAGUAACGCGUAUGCAACCUGCCCUGUACCGGAGGAUAACCCGGAGAAAUUCGGACUAAUACUCCAUAAAGAUAUUUUGAGGCAUCUUAAGAUAUUUAAAGCCACGGUGGUACGGGAUGGGCAUGCGUAACAUUAGCUAGUUGGCAGGGUAACGGCCUACCAAGGCAUCGAUGUUUAGGGGACCUGAGAGGGUGAACCCCCACACUGGUACUGAGACACGGACCAGACUCCUACGGGAGGCAG